RNAcentral lists this small nucleolar RNA (170 nucleotides) under Cucumis sativus (cucumber). RNAcentral describes it as "snoRNA snoR138". It matches the Rfam family "Small nucleolar RNA snoR138". Lineage: Eukaryota; Viridiplantae; Streptophyta; Magnoliopsida; Cucurbitales; Cucurbitaceae. The record is from Rfam by way of RNAcentral.
AUAGCCUUUCGAAUAACCAGAAGGUGCUAAUUAUUUUUCCACACCAUUUGGUUCAGACAAGGGCUUACAUCAAUUCAUCGGAUUAUAUAAUAUUAUUCCGUCGCCGAAUCCGUUUGAGGGAGUCGAACGCUUUUUCCUUUCGUUCCUCUCCUAGAUAGAUUCGAACAUUU